GCGCGAAACCUCCGCAAUGUGAGAAAUCGCGACGGGGGGACCCCAAGUGCCAUUCUUAACGGGAUGGCUUUUCUUAAGUGUAAAAAGCUUUGGAAUAAGAGCUGGGCAAGACCGGUGCCAGCCGCCGCGGUAACACCGGCAGCUCUAGUGGUAGCCAUUUUAUUGGGCCUAAAGCGUUCGUAGCCGGUUUAAUAAGUCUCUGGUGAAAUCCCGUAGCUUAACUAUGGGAAUUGCUGGAGAUACUAUUAGACUUGAGGUCGGGAGAGGUUAGAGGUACUCCCAGGGUAGGGGUGAAAUCCUGUAAUCCUGGGAGGACCACCUGUGGCGAAGGCGUCUAACUGGAACGAACCUGACGGUGAGGGACGAAAGCUAGGGGCGCGAACCGGAUUAGAUACCCGGGUAGUCCUAGCCGUAAACGAUGCGGACUUGGUGUUAGGAUGGCUUUGAGCCGCCCUAGUGCCGAGGCGAAGCUGUUAAGUCCGCCGCCUGGGAAGUACGGUCGCGAGACUGAAACUUAAAGGAAUUGGCGGGGGAGCACCACAACGCGUGGAGCCUGCGGUUU
Molecule: ribosomal RNA, 562 nt
Filed under: uncultured Methanobrevibacter sp.
Lineage: Archaea; Methanobacteriati; Methanobacteriota; Methanobacteria; Methanobacteriales; Methanobacteriaceae
Description: bacterial SSU rRNA
Rfam family: Archaeal small subunit ribosomal RNA
Source: RNAcentral